This 130-nucleotide ribosomal RNA is filed under the name Catinella olivacea. RNAcentral's name for it is "partial 18S ribosomal RNA". It matches the Rfam family "Eukaryotic small subunit ribosomal RNA", at positions 1675 to 1801 of the family's 1831-position model. The record is from RNAcentral. Lineage: Eukaryota; Fungi; Ascomycota; Dothideomycetes.
GUCGCUACUACCGAUUGAAUGGCUCAGUGAGGCCUUCGGACUGGCCCGGUGAUGUCGGCAACGGCAUCCUAAGGGACGGAAAGUUGGUCAAACUUGGUCAUUUAGAGGAAGUAAAAGUCGUAACAAGGUU